UCGAGCGGUAGCACAAAGAGCUUGCUCUCGGGUGACGAGCGGCGGACGGGUGAGUAAUGUCUGGGAAACUGCCUGAUGGAGGGGGAUAACUACUGGAAACGGUAGCUAAUACCGCAUAACGUCGCAAGACCAAAGAGGGGGACCUUCGGGCCUCUUGCCAUCAGAUGUGCCCAGAUGGGAUUAGCUAGUAGGUGGGGUAACGGCUCACCUAGGCGACAAUCCCUAGCUGGUCUGAGAGGAUGACCAGCCACACUGGAACUGAGACACGGUCCAGACUCCUACGGGAGGCAGCAGUGGGGAAUAUUGCACAAUGGGCGCAAGCCUGAUGCACCCAUGCCGCGUGUAUGAAAAAAGCCUUCGGGUUGUAAAGUACUUUCAGCGGGGAGGAAGGUGUUGAGGUUAAUAACCUCGUCAAUUGACGUUACCCGCAGAAAAAACACCGGCUAACUCCGUGCCAGCAGCCGCGGUAAUACGGAGGGUGCAAGCGUUAAUCGGAAUUACUGGGCGUAAAGCGCACGCAGGCGGUCUGUCAAGUCGGAUGUGAAAUCCCCGGGCUCAACCUGGGAACUGCAUUCGAAACUGGCAGGCUAGAGUCUUGUAGAGGGGGGUAGAAUUCCAGGUGUAGCGGUGAAAUGCGUAGAGAUCUGGAGGAAUACCGGUGGCGAAAGCGGCCCCCUGGACAAAGACUGACGCUCACGUGCGAAAGCGUGGGGAGCAAACA
This 721-nucleotide ribosomal RNA is filed under the name Enterobacter sp. B-12. RNAcentral describes it as "bacterial SSU rRNA". It matches the Rfam family "Bacterial small subunit ribosomal RNA", at positions 62 to 774 of the family's 1533-position model. Lineage: Bacteria; Pseudomonadati; Pseudomonadota; Gammaproteobacteria; Enterobacterales; Enterobacteriaceae. The record is from RNAcentral.